Molecule: long non-coding RNA, 1105 nt
Organism: Salvelinus sp. IW2-2015
Lineage: Eukaryota; Metazoa; Chordata; Actinopteri; Salmoniformes; Salmonidae
Source: RefSeq, a predicted model, not a curated record
CACAAGGAGACUGCCUGUUACGCGAAUGCAGUAAACCAAGAUAUCUUGGGAUGUGCUUUGGCAGAUGAAAAGGAGAUCACAACCGACUGGAUUAAAGAUUGUGAUGCACUCCGGGACUAUUAAAAAAAGAUGGCAAAUCCUUUCCCUAAAAUAGGCGACAGUGUGACAAAGGAAAUAGACCAUCCAAAGGACUGCAACGUGUUUGAGGGCAACCGAGUGACCCCACCAUCAUAUACAUGCCCCUCUUCGAUAUCCAUAAUUGUAAAGGUGAGGAGGAAAUAAAGAAGGAGAUGGUUGAGUACACCUCAUUCGUACUGUCUUACAUUGUAGGGAAGAUGUAUCACCUUCUAGAAAAGGCAUCUGCAAACAUGAGAAACAAUAAGGGGAAAAUCCUCAGGGAGAUUGAGAAGGCUAUCAAGCGCAGGCAAGAAAAUAAGUGAAUUUCAUAUGUAACAAUGAAAUGGCUAUUGAAUUACUAGCCUGCAGUUAGAAUCUUAGUAUUGACAUUAGUGGCAACAUGAGCAACAUGAGUUCUCAUCGGAACCCAUAGUUGCCAGUGGCCCCAAACUCCAGUCUGUCAUACAGCAUAGGCCUACCCCUUAGUCCAACACCUGAUCCAGAAGAAAGCUGACUACCAAUUAUAGGUUCCCAACAAUAAUUGUUUUCUCAACUCAAUUAUAUCCAAGCCCUAUACGUGUUGCAGUGGGACUAUGUACAGUAUAGUCUACAAUGGGUGGAAUACCUCCAUGUUUGUAUAUCGGCUAACAUUUUUCCUGAAGAUGUACUAGUUAAGUACAACCACCAGAUGUCUCUAAGUGUUCACAUUAUCCAUUAAUUUGCAUUGAACUUGUAUUUUCUAGCUAUGUGGGAAAUUAUGAAAUGUAUCUACAUUUUUCCCAAUAUUAUGGGCUAGGUAGGGGUUAAGUUAUAUUGUUGUAUUGUGUAGGCCUGUCAUGGUUUGUGGGUAUCAUAAGCACAGAUUUAAUAACACAAAUGUAUACUUGUAGCCUUAUGAAUAUGGCCAUUGGGCAAUACAUUACAAACUGCCAAAACGUAGGGUACAUGCCCUCCCUGUUAAGAUGCAUUACUACAUGAAUUAAUAAAA